This is a non-coding RNA of Pelobates cultripes (western spadefoot toad), 839 nucleotides long. Lineage: Eukaryota; Metazoa; Chordata; Amphibia; Anura; Pelobatidae. The record is from the annotation of a GenBank genome assembly.
CCGCAGGAAACUUCCAGGGAUAUAGUGUGCAUAAUUCACUACUACAUCGUAAAGGAAGAUAUUCUGCGCCUGGCAAGGAAUUCCCCUGCCUUGAAUCUCCCAGACGCGCGUAUCCAGAUUCUACCAGAUCUAGCGUGGCAGACGCUUCAGGGGAGGAGGGCCCUCAGGCCGAUUACACAGGCAUUGCAGGCCAAAGAGAUUAGAUACCGUUGGGGAUUCCCUUUCUCUCUCCACGCCUCACAUCAGGGAACACAAAGUAGUAUCACAUCUAUUCAAGAUGUUCCAGAAUUCCUGUAAGCAUUCGACCUUCCUCAGGUGGAGAUCCUCGUCUGGUAUGGCCAGGGGGCACAAGAGGCAGCACAGGGCUUGCCACAGCAGCUCAGAUGGAGAGGAACAUUGGAGAAGAAGAGGACACCGCGGAAACGACCACCACUCACUACGGUCUCUGGACCUCGGCAGGCACUUAACUUCUCGCAUCCUUCUGCUAUGGGACUGCACGCUCAUGAACCAGCUGCACAGCCUUUAUUACAAGCGGGACCGGUUACAACUCAGGGGCAUCCCGCUUCCCAGCUGGGCCACUCAGGGACAGUUAAGAACCUCUGCGGCUCCGGAGCCUCCUGGCACAUGCUGUUGUCUGCACUGGACUGACGCAAGUAUCGCACCCUACACUACCAGACUCAUUUUAGGGGGAUAGUACUGAGAGACACAUACUCUCUGAACUGUGGGACUUACUAGUGACUCUGGGCAGUUGGGUCUGGGGGAGUGGGGUCACAAUCGGAAAGAACCGGGGUGUGGUGGGGGAGUGUUUACUUUGCUUAGAUCACAAAACGAACACAAAG